AGUGAACGCUGGCGGUAGGCCUAACACAUGCAAGUCGAACGGCGGCACAGUAAGAGCUUGCUCUUACGGGUGGCGAGUGGCGGACGGGUGAGGAAUACAUCGGGAUCUACUUUUUCGUGGGGGAUAACGUAGGGAAACUUACGCUAAUACCGCAUACGACCUACGGGUGAAAGCAGGGGAUCUUCGGACCUUGCGCGAUUGAAUGAGCCGAUGUCGGAUUAGCUAGUUGGCGGGGUAAAGGCCCACCAAGGCGACGACCCGUAGCUGGUCUGAGAGGAUGAUCAGCCACACUGGAACUGAGACACGGUCCAGACUCCUACGGGAGGCAGCAGUGGGGAAUAUUGGACAAUGGGCGCAAGCCUGAUCCAGCCAUACCGCGUGGGUGAAGAAGGCCUUCGGGUUGUAAAGCCCUUUUGUUGGGAAAGAAAAGCAGCAGGUUAAUACCCCGCUGUUCUGACGGUACCCAAAGAAUAAGCACCGGCUAACUUCGUG
Molecule: ribosomal RNA, 492 nt
Filed under: uncultured bacterium
Lineage: Bacteria
Description: partial 16S ribosomal RNA
Rfam family: Bacterial small subunit ribosomal RNA
Source: RNAcentral